Molecule: ribosomal RNA, 497 nt
Filed under: uncultured bacterium
Lineage: Bacteria
Description: partial 16S ribosomal RNA
Rfam family: Bacterial small subunit ribosomal RNA
Source: RNAcentral
GAUGAACGCUGGCGGUGUGCCUAAUACAUGCAAGUCGAGCGAACAGACGAGGAGCUUACUCCUCUGACGUUAGCGGCGGACGGGUGAGUAACACGUGGAUAACCUACCUAUAAGACUGGGAUAACUUCGGGAAACCGGAGCUAAUACCGGAUAACAUGUUGAACCGCAUGGUUCAACAGUGAAAGACGGUCUUGCUGUCACUUAUAGAUGGAUCCGCGUCGCAUUAGCUAGUUGGUAAGGUAACGGCUUACCAAGGCAACGAUGCGUAGCCGACCUGAGAGGGUGAUCGGCCACACUGGAACUGAGACACGGUCCAGACUCCUACGGGAGGCAGCAGUAGGGAAUCUUCUGCAAUGGGCGAAAGCCUGACGGAGCAACGCCGCGUGAGUGAAGAAGGUCUUCGGAACGUAAAACUCUGUUAUUAGGGAAGAACAAAUGUGUAAGUAACUAUGCACGUCUUGACGGUACCUAAUCAGAAAGCCACGGCUAACUACGUG